AGCAGCCGCGGUAAUUCCAGCUCCAAUAGCGUAUAUUAAAGUUGUUGCAGUUAAAAAGCUCGUAGUUGAAUUUCGGGAUUGACGUGAUGGUCAUGCCUUAAGGGGUAUGAACUGUUACAGUUGAUUUCUCACCUUCUGGAGAAACUUGAUGUCCUUUAUUGGGUGUCUUGCGGAUCCAGGACCUUUACCUUGAAAAAUUAGAGUGUUUAAAGCAGGCAUUUUUGCUCGAAUACAUUAGCAUGGAAUAAUAGAAUAGGACGGCAUGGUUCUAUUUUGUUGGUUUCUAGGAUCACCGUAAUGAUUAAUAGGGAUAGUUGGGGGCAUUAGUAUUCAAUUGUCAGAGGUGAAAUUCUUGGAUUUAUUGAAGACUAACUACUGCGAAAGCAUUUGCCAAGGAUGUUUUCAUUAAUCAAGAACGAAAGUUAGGGGAUCGAAGACGAUCAGAUACCGUCGUAGUCUUAACCAUAAACUAUGCCGACUAGGAAUCAGACGAUGUUAAUUUUUUAAUGACUCGUUUGGU
Molecule: ribosomal RNA, 520 nt
Filed under: uncultured Entrophospora
Lineage: Eukaryota; Fungi; Glomeromycota; Glomeromycetes; Entrophosporales; Entrophosporaceae
Description: SSU rRNA
Rfam family: Eukaryotic small subunit ribosomal RNA
Source: RNAcentral